Molecule: ribosomal RNA, 557 nt
Filed under: uncultured bacterium
Lineage: Bacteria
Description: bacterial SSU rRNA
Rfam family: Bacterial small subunit ribosomal RNA
Source: RNAcentral
ACGGGUGAGUAACGCGUGGGAAUCUACCCAUCUCUACGGAAUAACGCAUGGAAACGUGUGCUAAUACCGUAUACGUCCUCCGGGAGAAAGAUUUAUCGGAGAUGGAUGAGCCCGCGUUGGAUUAGCUAGUUGGUGGGGUAAAGGCCUACCAAGGCGACGAUCCAUAGCUGGUCUGAGAGGAUGAUCAGCCACACUGGGACUGAGACACGGCCCAGACUCCUACGGGAGGCAGCAGUGGGGAAUAUUGGACAAUGGGCGCAAGCCUGAUCCAGCCAUGCCGCGUGAGUGAUGAAGGCCCUAGGGUUGUAAAGCUCUUUCACCGGUGAAGAUAAUGACGGUAACCGGAGAAGAAGCCCCGGCUAACUUCGUGCCAGCAGCCGCGGUAAUACGAAGGGGGCUAGCGUUGUUCGGAUUUACUGGGCGUAAAGCGCACGUAGGCGGACUAUUAAGUCAGGGGUGAAAUCCCGGGGCUCAACCCCGGAACUGCCUUUGAUACUGGUAGUCUUGAGUUCGAGAGAGGUGAGUGGAAUUCCGAGUGUAGAGGUGAAAUUCGUAGA